This 20-nucleotide transfer RNA is filed under the name Podarcis hispanicus (Iberian wall lizard). Its description in RNAcentral is "tRNA-Ser". Lineage: Eukaryota; Metazoa; Chordata; Lepidosauria; Squamata; Lacertidae. The record is from RNAcentral.
AAGAGGUGUAUUAACAAUUA